This is a long non-coding RNA of Gasterosteus aculeatus aculeatus (three-spined stickleback), 3508 nucleotides long. Lineage: Eukaryota; Metazoa; Chordata; Actinopteri; Perciformes; Gasterosteidae. The record is from Ensembl.
UGAACAGGAUAGGCCGUCUUUAUUUAGUUCAAUAGAUCAAAAACACAAAAUCGCUCCAUUAGGAGGAAAAACACAAAAACUACAAAGAGGCUUGAGGAACUGAAUCCAUAAACUGAAACUAGAAUCGUCCAGGCCAGGCCGAGGGCCACCGAGUCUAAGGCGACGGGCCCCGGUAGGUGAAUGGUCGGUACCCUCCAGCACCGGGGAAAGGGAGCCGCAGACUAUAAGACACAUGAGGGCAAUGGGAAACAGUUGGACACAAUCAGGGACCAGGGCAGACGAUUCGACUGGCGACACAUGAGGGGCAAGUGACCUGAAACGAGAGAGGGGUUAAUCUUUCAAAAUAAGACAGGAAAUGACAAGACAAGGCACGGAGACGAGAAAACCCCAACUAGAUCUCACCGCGGUGUGACAUUAGGGGGUAAAGGAUCAGUACUGAUAUUCCAGUUAUAUAAUAAGUACUUUUACUUAUACAAAUGAAUAUAGCCGAUAACACCUUAUUAUUCUUACCUGAAGCCUAAGAAACUGGGCCUCGCUGGGCAGUUUUUAAGAUGGACGUUUGUUAUUAUUGAGGUCGAGGCUGCGAUUCAUAAAGGCACAGUUAUAGAAUCCUCAUAUGAUUUCACAGGAACAUUCAAAUUCCAGUCUACACAAACACGUAUAUAAUCAGGAUACUGUUGCACUCACAGUGUGUGUUUCUUCAUUCUACCACUGGGAGGUGCUAAAGGUUUAAAGUCCAAGUCCAACACCCGGAAGCUGCAGAUCCUCCUUGCUGCUUUGUUUUAGGGCUGUGAAUACACAAUACACAUACAGACACACACACACACACACACCAAUCCCAAGUGUGUUUUUGUUGUGCUUUUGGUUUCAACCAGUCAACAAGUCUCUCCGCCGGCUUCAAUCAAACAAAAUAAUUGUGCUGUAAUAACUUAAAAUGAUCAUAAACCCUUUGAAAUGAUUUUAAAAUGACGAUGCUUUCACUCCAAAGGCCAGAGGAACGAUCCUUCUGUAUCAGCUUUCAUGAAAACACUGUUUUAUGCAGCAUUGAAAGGUGAAGACAACGAGGAGGUCACUUAAACAGUCUCUCUACCUGCCAGCAGGUGGGGACUCCUCUGCAAAAAUAAGAUGACCAAACUUAACAAAUCUAGUUUAAAGUCUUCUUCAAUACAGCUUAAUGUUCAUUUGGUUAAUUAUGCUCUCAAAAUAGUCCAAAAAAAAUCUGGGUGUGUUUUGGGGCGGGGCUAACCUGUGACUGACAGGUUGCUACAAGAGCCAUACACGUCUCAACGUCACUUCAAAUAUGAUUUAUUCUGUUGUUCACUGAUGUUAAGGUAUCAAAAUCAACCUGCUAGCAAGUCUAAAGCUGACUAAUAAACAAUAAUUCAUAUAUGUUUGAUCCAUGCGUGGUUCACAUACACUCUUUUUUAAAGUAUUGCACGUAAUGUAAAUAGCUAUUCAAAUGUGAAUAAAGUUUCUUUAAGCGUCCAUUUCUUUCGACGGGCCUCCUGUCGGUCUCUCUGCUCAUCUAAAUCCCCCUUUGUUCACGUCCGCGGACCCACAAACGUACGACUCUCACCUCUACACACAUUUCACCGCAGCGACUGUUUCAGGUGACUGACACCUGGGAGCGCUCCAAAGCAAAGACUGCGAUUGCGAAAGCGGCGGUGAAGUCGCUAUCGCCUGUGUUAAAACACUUGGCAGUGUUUUAGUGUCCUCUGUCCGUCCGUCAAAGGCUCUGAGUUCAACUCCGGCGCUGAAAGACAAACAAGACGGCAAUUCUGAAUCUGUGGCAGCGUUUGAGAGGCCGAGGAGGCAAACGUGUGGCGGUCUGUGUACGGCAACACACAGCAGGUGUAGACUGGGUGGUGAUGAAAUAUAUUUCACACUGUAGAUUUACUUAAGUCAAACAUGUAUGUUUAUUGUUGAUAAUACUAUACUGUUUUUGUGUUUAUUAAAAAAUGAACAGAGGUUAGCCUCCCUAAUGAAGAGGACACUGUGAUCAAAUACCAUUUUAAUUGAUGAAAAGAAGGAAGAAGCAGUGAUGUCAGGAGCUUGGUGAGCAUGGAAAAUGUGUUAAAAAAGAGUCCGAUGACCAUUCGUCCUCAUUCAGGAACCGUAAAUAUCCGAAAGAUGACAAGAGGCCGCCGUCUGGUCAGGGGUUAUCGCUGACUUGACGUGAAGUUUGAUCUAUUUACUUUUUAAAAUUCCUUUAUUUCAGAAAACAUCUCCACGCUCGGUUUACGUUUGUCUCUUCUUCAGGGAAGCAGCACAAAUACAGUUACAAUGCGCACAACAAAUAUGACUGAGUGUGAAAAAGGAGCGUGAGUCUGCGGCCUGAUUAGUGUGAUGCAACACGCCGGGCCGCGCGCGUCCAACGAAUGGAACAGCGGGUUCACGACGAGCCGAGAAAAUCCUCCAAUUGCACAAAACCGGAGGGCAACCGCCCAAGUACACACACGCACGCAGCUGCCAAGAAGCGCACAGGUAUUUGAUCAGGUCAUGUUGACAGAUUGACCCUUUAAUGACAAACAGACGGACAUCUCCUCCCGGCGCCUCGGGAGGUCGGCAGAGCGCAGGGCCCCGACUUCCUCCUGCGGGCCGUUAAUAAAGAGCACAGCUCGGGUCAAAAGGAAUAAACGAGCUGCGGGAGACGCACACACACACACACACACACACACACACACACACCUUGCGUCACCGGGUUUGUCAUUCCUGUUUUUGUUUUUCGUACCAUAGAUGGAAGGCACGGACGUAAUGUUUUUAUGACCCCGUGACCCUUUGAGCCUAAAGCCCGAUAAGGCCUGGACAUGUUUUACUCAGGUUCCUUUGAGCAACUGAUUCACUGUAAAGAAAGACAACGGGUACGUUACGUAUUGUAUUGAUCUGCUGAUCAACGGUUUAAUAAACACAUCUCCAAAAGUUAAAACAAAGGUACUCAUUUAUUUAAGAUUAAAGGGGUAAUAGAAGAUUUAACAUUUUUGUUUCAUUCAAAUAUGUUUUUAAUUUGUCAUUACGGGGACUAUUUGCAUUAUUUAAUAACAGAAAAGUUGGUGUUUCAAUUCAACCAAUAAAGUCUAUAAAAUGUUAUUGUGAUUACCUUCUGAAGCCUCUUUAUAUGAAUGUCUCUUCCCCUUUGUUAGUUAAUAAUAUAUUAAUCAUCAUUUAACACAGGAAUACAGGAGUGAAGCGGUAUCGUGCGUUAUUUCAGGGUAUUCAACUCUCAACUCACAGAAAUCUCUUGAGGAAAAAAAACACUCGUAAGUUCAUUUGUGACCUUGAAAACAGAAAUCAUUACUCUUACUUUCUCAUCUCAUAUUUGUUCUGUUGCUUUUGUGAAACUCGCCUUGUUUCCGGAGCCUUUGCCCACUUCCCACUUCGUCUUCAUCGGCAUUCGCAGUUUGUUAAGUUGCGGCGGACCUUUCGAUGUUUUGACUUUUUCAAAAACAUGGAUGGGACGAGGUCGUCAACAGAUUCACGUCAACUGAGUGACCUCACUCUGCUGAUGAAG